UUAUAAGAGACAGCAGUAGCCGCGGGAAUACAGAGGGUGCGAGCGUUAAUCGGAUUUACUGGGCGUAAAGCGUGCGUAGGCGGCUUUUUAAGUCGGAUGUGAAAUCCCUGAGCUUAACUUAGGAAUUGCAUUCGAUACUGGGAAGCUAGAGUAUGGGAGAGGAUGGUAGAAUUCCAGGUGUAGCGGUGAAAUGCGUAGAGAUCUGGAGGAAUACCGAUGGCGAAGGCAGCCAUCUGGCCUAAUACUGACGCUGAGGUACGAAAGCAUGGGGAGCAAACAGGAUUAGAUACCCCUGUAGUCCCUGUCUCUUAUAC
Molecule: ribosomal RNA, 314 nt
Filed under: uncultured bacterium
Lineage: Bacteria
Description: partial 16S ribosomal RNA
Rfam family: Bacterial small subunit ribosomal RNA
Source: RNAcentral